RNAcentral lists this ribosomal RNA (253 nucleotides) under uncultured bacterium. RNAcentral's name for it is "partial 16S ribosomal RNA". It matches the Rfam family "Bacterial small subunit ribosomal RNA", at positions 524 to 776 of the family's 1533-position model. The record is from RNAcentral.
UACGUAGGGGGCCAGCGUUGUCCGGAAUCAUUGGGCGUAAAGCGCACGUAGGCGGCUUCUUAAGUCAGGGGUGAAAUCCUGGAGCUCAACUCCAGAACUGCCUUUGAUACUGAGAAGCUUGAGUCCGGGAGAGGUGAGUGGAACUGCGAGUGUAGAGGUGAAAUUCGUAGAUAUUCGCAAGAACACCAGUGGCGAAGGCGGCUCACUGGCCCGGUACUGACGCUGAGGUGCGAAAGCGUGGGGAGCAAACAGG